Pelobates cultripes (western spadefoot toad) is the source of this 271-nucleotide non-coding RNA. NCBI's taxonomy places the organism in Eukaryota, Metazoa, Chordata, Amphibia, Anura, Pelobatidae. The record is from the annotation of a GenBank genome assembly.
ACACAUACACACACACACACACACACAUUUUCUCAAGUUUUACAAACUUAAUCUAACCAUUGUAAUGGAAGGCGAAUGAUCACCUUUUAAGAAUUAGAAAGAAAACACAAACAUACACUUAUUUUAUGUUGAACAGUGUAUUGACUACUUUUUGCUAGGAUUGAGCUGUUUUGACUUCAAUAGAAUCCCAUCUGGGCUGCAUUAUGUAGAAGAAAAACACAAAUGCAUUCAUGACUAAGCAUUCGUAUUGAAGCAUCAAACAAGACUUCAC